ACGGAGGAUGCAAGUGUUAUCCGGAAUCACUGGGCGUAAAGCGUCUGUAGGUGGUCAAAUAAGUCAACUGUUAAAUCUUGAGGCUCAACCUCAAAAUCGCAGUCGAAACUAUUCGACUAGAGUAUAGUAGGGGUAAAGGGAAUUUCCAGUGGAGCGGUGAAAUGCGUAGAGAUUGGAAAGAACACCGAUGGCGAAGGCACUUUACUGGGCUAUUACUGACACUGAGAGACGAAAGCUAGGGUAGCAAAUGGGAUUAGAUACCCCAGUAGUCCUAGCCGUAAACAAUGGAUACUAGAUGUUGAACAGAUCGACCUGUGCAGUAUCAAAGCUAACGCGUUAAGUAUCCCGCCUGGGAAGUAUGCUCGCAAGAGUG
RNAcentral lists this ribosomal RNA (373 nucleotides) under uncultured bacterium. Its description in RNAcentral is "bacterial SSU rRNA". It matches the Rfam family "Bacterial small subunit ribosomal RNA", at positions 525 to 896 of the family's 1533-position model. The record is from RNAcentral.